Acanthosepion pharaonis is the source of this 110-nucleotide non-coding RNA. Lineage: Eukaryota; Metazoa; Mollusca; Cephalopoda; Sepiida; Sepiidae. The record is from the annotation of a GenBank genome assembly.
GGCCAUGUCACGUUGAAAUACCGGUUCCCGUACGAGCACUGAUGUUAAGCAACAUCAAGCCUGGUCAGUAUCGAGAAGGGUCACCGCUUAAGAAUACCAGGUGCUGUAAG